CCAACUCAGAAGCUAGGAUAUGCAUAUUAUUAACACAUUCGGAUAGAAAACACUCUGAAUUUUCUAAAACAGUUUGAAUGGUGUCUGUAAGUAUAACAAAACUCAUAUUGCAGGCAAAAACCUGUGAAAAAUAGAUCAAAAAAAAAUGUGAAUUUUGUGACUGUACUAUUUAGUGUCAUUGUUUUAUAGAUACCAUAGUGAGAAAGGAUUCAUUUCGCAACACCUACGGCUUCCACUAGAUGUCAACGAUCUUUAUAAAGUUGUUUGAAGCGUCUAUGAUAAACAGAGAGCAAAUUAGAAUCCAAGGAAGUUGACAUGUCAUCACUUCAUUUUUUUGCGCCUGCGCAUAAAUCUGAGAAACAAACCACAUUUGUUCCGGACCUGGGAUGCCUUCCGGACCUGGGAUGCCUGUCUUCUGAUGGAGAUAAUCAAAGAUGUCAAUUCCAGGAAUCCCAGGUCCAUAACGAAUGUAGUUUUGUUCAAAAAAGCUCAUCAUUUAUGUCCAAAAAUCUCCGUCUUGUUAGCACAUGAUGUAAGCCAGCCGGACUUCUCGUCAUGAACGAGGGGAAAAAAUAUAUUUACGUUCGUUCAAACAUGUCAAACGUUGUAUAGCAUAAAUCAUUAGUGCCUUUUUUAACCAGAACAUGAAUAAUAUUCAAGGUGGACGAAUGCAUUCUCUUUUAUAACGUAUUGGAACGAGGGUACCCAACAUGAACUCGCGCGCCAGAGUCUAAUCGGCCAUCACCGUUCCAUGGCUCUUGUUCGGUCAGAUCUCACAGUAAAAGACUCAAAACACUUUGUAAAGGCUGGUGACAUCUAGUGGAAACAAUAGGAAGUGCCAAAACAGUAAUCAACCCCUCUGUGUUUCAAUGGCAUAGGCUUAAAGGUAAUUCAACACAUCAGGUAUCCACUUCCUGUCAGAAAAUGUCUCAGGGUUUUGCCUGCCAAAUGAGUUCUGUUAUACACAGACACCAUUCAAACAGUUUUAGAAACUUUAGGGUGUUUUCUAUCCAUAUAUAAUAAGUAUAUGCAUAUUCUAGUUACUGGGUAGGAUUAGUAACCAGAUUAAAUCGGGUACGUUUUUUUAUCCAGCCGUGAAAAUACUGCCCCCUAGCCCCAACAGGUUAAACAUGUCUGUAAAAUCACAAUGUGAACAUCGACCUAUCAAGUAAUUUUUCAUAAAUCAUUGGGUACAAUGCAAGAACAAAUGUGAGAGUAAUCUGAAGUGGUUGCAUUAAUUCAUGUUCACAUUUACAACAUAACAUGCAUGAGCAUUUCAUCACUAAGACUUUUUGGGAAUAAUGUCUGAAGGGUGAAAAUCCCAAAACAUUCUCUUUUGUGCAGAGUAUUAUUUAUACCACCUCCCCUGUAUUAUAUCUUGACUUUCUCUAUGCCACAACAUCUAAAAAGUAGAAAUGUCAUGUUUUUGGUCAUUUAAAAUGUACUGACUGGAUAAUCCCUGUCGUUUCUCCUGAUUUAACUUUUAUGUUCACUAAUUCUCUGUUUGAGAGAACGAGAGGUUUUACCUACAUAACACAGCCCACAUGGACAUUUAAUCAUGUAGGUAACAUGGGUGGUGGAGCACGUAAUAAUGUAAUUUAUAUGGAACUGUUUUCCUGUAUGUGGGUGGCAGAAAUAUUCACACUUCAUCAUAUUGUUGCACUGUGCGCAACCUCUGCAUUUAUAGCUACCAUUCGGAAGAGCGUGUAAAAGAGCCAGGAUCAUUUGCUUUAGUGGCUGGCAGUUGGCAUGGACCAAUUUGUCACGUAAAUUGCGACCUUUCCUAUAUACAAUAAGUGGUGGGUUCUUAAAUUCAGCUGGCAAAGCUGGGUCCAAUGAUAAAACACGCCAAUGGGUUUUGCUCAUGAUAGCUUGAACUGACAAUGACUUGGUGAUAAAAACCUAAAAGAUAGCAUUCCAUAGACAAGAUGUGGUGUGUGUGACCCGAGAUAGAGUCAGGAAGAGUUUUUAGAACAAUGCCUCAUUGUCUCAUCUUCCUGGCAUUGGGAAACUAAGCCGAGUUGGAAGUAAAACAACGUCCCGUGCAGAUAACCUGGAGAUGGACCAAGGUGGUUUGUGGGAAGGGUAUAAAUGACUGACUAAGCAUUUUUUAGGGCCUAUAUAGAGUGUGGGGUCGACACUUUCAUUGUUGCAAUAAUGAAUCAAUGUUAAAUAAAAAUUAUUGUUUGAAUAAUUGUCCAAGUCUCUCUCAGUACUGGAACUUCCACAACAGUUUUGGCGACGAGUGUCCGUGUAUAUGUGAUGAGAAAAGGAGUCAAUCGCAGGACACCGAACUGAGUAAAAAUUAAGUAAUUUACUCAACAUAAAAAUUCAGUAUACAAAAUCCAUGCAGGGAAAACAAGAACUACAAAACCAACGAACAAUACCAACAGUAAAACAAUAACGCACAAAACAUCAUGAUGACCAGAGGGUUAAAAUAGGGCAGUAAUCAUAACCAAAUGGGAACCAGGUGUGAACAAUCAAGACAUAACCAAUCGACAAAGAAACAUGGAUCGGUGGCAGCUAGAAAGCCGGUGACGAUGACCGCCGAACGCUGCCCGAACAAGGAGAGGCACCAACAUCGGCGGAAGUCGUGACAACGAGGAGGAUCUCUGCAACUUCACCUGUUGACCGCUCCUGAAGAUCUGGGUAAACUGUGCACAGGGGAUCCAAAAUUGGGAGCUCGGGGAAACCACACUCCAAAGGAGAAGCUGGACCCUCCUCAGAUCUGCAGGAAGCGGGCACGGAUGGAUAUCAGAUCUCGAACAUAGUGCUGAGAGAGGUGAGCUUGGACAAUCUAUCAAUAAGUGAUACAAAAAAAUAUAUAAAUAACAAAAGCCCCUGUCAAGGGUAUGCUCAGAGCAAGGUCUUCCUUAAGAGGGCCACAACUGAGGUAACUAGCAGGACUGAGUUGAGUUGAUAAGAGUGUUCUUAAGUGAGGUUUCCUUGGGCAUGAUUGAGAAUUAGCCUGUUGCGGGCAACCAAAAGUCCAGAUCCGUGGUACUGGGUUGAUCACAGUAGGACUGGUGAUGUUAAUGUGUAGAGCGAGAGACUAGAGCGCAGGUGACGCCUUACAAGGGCACCUGGCAUGGUGAAUUUCAAAUGAUAUGUAUGUAGUUGAUUAAAUGUUUUGUUGAUGAAGUAAACAAGUAUGCCCUGGGUCAGUAUUGUUAGUUGUUAUUGUUAUUCCUGGUUAGAUAAUAACCCGUUUUGGGACCACAAGUUAGGCAAUAUUUUGAUAAUGGUAUGGUUUUCCCUGCUCAUAUAGAGAGGGUUUACAAUCUAAAAACAGCGCUAACGAUUUAAUAAAAAAAUGUUUUUGACUGUCUCAUUCCCUAUGUUUGUGUUUUCUGUGAGUGUGUGAGUGAAGGAGCCGGAACCAUGGGAGCACACGGUAGCGAAGGACACGGAAUUCCAGAUCCCCCAAAGGAUGCCCUGAAGGUUAAGGGUGAAAGCAGCUUUGCCUCAGCCCCUGGUGGGAAUCCUACAUAAGCUUCAACCUGGUGACUGGGUUGUGGUCAAGGACCUGAGGAGGAAGCAUUGGACCCAGCAGAAGUGGAAUGGCCCAUUCCAGGUGUUGCUGAUAAACCCCACCACUGUUCGAGUGGCUGAGAGAUCGACAUGAGUACACUCCAGCCACUGCAGGAAGGUCCCAUAUGAUCCAGUUUCAGAUGUCCCGGAGGAUGGGUUUCCGCCAGCCAUGACCUAGUUGGCCGUGGGAGAAUCAGGAUGAAGUCAGAGGAAUCCUGGUUGUUGCAUUCUUUGCCAGCCUCUUCAUCUCAAUGACUGUUUGAACCCUGCAGAGAGGGGAAUAGGCGAAAGGGGAGGAUGGCCCAAAUAUCACUGCAGUCCCAAAGCUGGGACUUAAUAACAGCCACUCCAGCUCAAGCCAAUGGCAGGCUCAGGACAUGAGUCCAGUAAACAAUAGCCACACUGAGACCAGAAGAAGCAGGAGCUCGAUGCAUCCACUGGAUGAGCAUCACAGCCAGAAUCAUGAGGAAAACACUUGGUGGUCACUGCUUAAUUAUACAGUAAAAACUGAACUAAUGGUAGAAAACACCUCCUGUCAUGUAUGUAGUCUUUUUCCACGCUCAGCGAUCUCAACAUUCUUACAGUAUUCAGUAGAGGCCAGCAUUAACGACACUCUAUGUGCACUGGAAGUCAUCUUAUCAAAUUAAACUUCAUGGGGUUAACCUUCACAGGGUAGAACUAUGAAGGAAAAAUGCAUUAAUGAUGAUUUGUCAUUGUCAAAAGAUAUGAGGCAGAUUUGAUUGUAAACGUUGGUGUACUAAAAUGAUUUUAGAACCUAGACACCGUGUACUGAAACCUAUACUAAUCCAACCCCGCCAUUGUCACAACCCAAGUAUUAUCUCCAUACCACGAUCUUAUGAAUCCUAUUUGGGAAUGUCAACAUGUGUUAAUUAUAGUCUUCCCAUUAGGAUGUAGCUGGAUAAAUGGAACAUGCAAUUCUAACUGGCCUGUUAAACUUAAUGUGGGGCACACCACCAUUCAAGUAGAAACAGACGAGCGCUGUCCACAUCAAUAUGGCUCAGCCACGUUUAAUGAUCAUUAUUGGAUCUGUGGUAAUAAGGCAUAUCUUUAUUUACCAACAAAUUGGACAGGGUGCUGUGUUUUUGGUAAACUAAACAUCUCCAUUGUUGUAAUGCAUAAAACAAACUCCUCCAUUCCACGCAGAUUAAGACGGAUUAGGAGGAGCAUUUCACAAUUGAAUGACGUUCCAAUUGAGUCACGACGAUCCUCAGAACUUGAAGUUUUGGCAUGGGUUAAUUUCUUGAUAUGGGGCAUCGGAAAAUGCCCAUGACUUAGAACGAUUGGGAUAUCAUUUAGAAACUUUUGUAAAUUUAAACCACUUCAGGAUUUUCGAUAAUGAGACCAGAAUUACAAGCAGCUCGCCUCACGGCUAUACAGAAUAGAUUAGCACUUGAUAUGUUACUAGCACAGGAAGGGGGAGUGUGCCAAAUGAUAGGUGAAUAUUGCUGUACAUUCAUACCCCAGGAUGAGGGUAACUUCACUAUUGUUGUGGAACAUCUGGAAGAGCUCACCGGCGAUCUCACAAAAGAACACCAACCAGACAACAAUUGGAAUCCGUUUGGAUGGGUUCAAUCAUUAUUUGGUGUUAUGGAAACAACAGUUUUCCAUUGGCUCAUUUAUGGCCAAUUAAUAUUUUUUGCUGUGCUAUUUCUUAUUGUCUAUGUUAAAAAUCUUUGUUGUAAAGUGCUGGAUACUGCCCUCACUAUGCCAUUGCUUGAUGUUCAUGCUGACUCUGAGGAUGAUGAGAAUAAUGAUGAUGUAUCUAUAAAUGAUCGAAUGCCUGAUAUUCCAGACCUAUUUCCCAUUCCUGAUUACAUACAGUGGGGAGAACAAGUAUUUGAUACACUGCCAAUUUUGCAGGUUUUCCUACUUACAAAGCAUGUAGAGGUCUGUAAUUUUUAUCAUAGGUACACUUCAACA
This 5472-nucleotide long non-coding RNA is filed under the name Salmo salar (Atlantic salmon). Its description in RNAcentral is "lncRNA (ENSSSAG00000107092.1)". The record is from RNAcentral. Lineage: Eukaryota; Metazoa; Chordata; Actinopteri; Salmoniformes; Salmonidae.